GCAGCCUCCGUUUUGGGUCCCCGGGAAGCCACAGUCGCCCCCCAGCGCCCCCAGCGGAGCCUCCCCGGGGGAAGGGGCGUGGCGCUGGGGGGGGCAGAGUCACCCCGAGGGCCGUGGGCGGUGCCCGGCUGUCCCGGGAGCGGCCGCCUCCCUUCUCGGCAGAAGCCCUCCCCGCCGGCCGAGCGGGGACGCGGGAGCUGAGGUUGGGCCGCGGGCGGAUGGAGGUCUGGGGGAGGGUCGGCCGGGAGCGCUGGCGCCAGCGGAGCUGGCUGGGAGCCUCCGAGGCUGACAGCUCUUCUGGGGCCGCCCUUGCCCCCGCGGAGUGAUUCAACCCCGGCUCGCUGCCUCUGCCUGGCGGGUCGGUGCACCCCCAGACCGAGGCCUGGGGCGUUCUGCUUCAGCAGACCGAAACCAGAAACGCAGCCCCCGCCACCCAGGCCGAGUGUGCCGAGAAGGAGCCGGCACCCUUUUCAGGGUGUCAGGGGACUGUGUGCCCGGACCUGUGCACCCUCCUGUCUACCUGGAGACCCUCUUCGCCAUCGUUGCCAGCGUACUCCUGGCCUCAGACUCCCCAGAGGGGACCCCCCCCACACACACCCCUGCAGAGCCUGGCAGAGGGCAGCUGUGGGGGCUGCUGGAGCCGCGGGUGUGAUCUGGAGGGGACACGGGGCCCGGCUGUGUUUCUGGGGCAUAAGUGAGACUUCCUUUUGUUGUAGUCACUGCCCCGUUGAUCCACACACGUCACGAAUCAGUGACAGAGACUCGCUGUGGAAACCGGAGUGCGCUGGCCUGCCUGCUACCCUCCGGUGUUUGUGACUUUUUACCAGCUGUCCUGACGAAGCACAGGGUGGAGCGAGCGCUGGUGUGCUGGGUGGAUUCUCAUCCCCCGAUAGCUGGAAAGUUGCCCCUCAUGACACUGGCCACUGCAUCGACAGCCUCUGUUGCUGGGUGUUUCUUCUAAGCAAUUAAGUAGGAGAUGAUGAAACCUCUCUUCCGUGGGGGGAGGCAGGACCAGCGCCCCGUCUUUAUCAGCCAGUGGCCAUAAAUGUGGACCAUGAACUUUCCCACUUGCUGUCAGCCCGGGCAUCGCAGGUUUGCUGAGGUGCUGGAUAUUUGGAGGUGAGAGAUUUGAGGCACUCGAUUUUCUGGCAGGAACCAGCACAGGCCACGAGUCUCGGACUUCGUGCGGAGGUCUGCUGGGUAGGCUGAAGGAUGCAUCGUUUACCUUUUUUGUCUGCACGGGUCUUGCACAUCGUGUGCUACUGAUUUUAAUGUGAAAAUCCCCACGUCAGCGGGUCUGGUUGGAGUCCCGUUGGUCUGGAUGUUUUGGGAGAAUGUGAGAGGAGAGGGGAGCAGGCCCUGCGCUGGGCGCAGAUCCGUCUGAGUGCGCUGAGAAGACGUCAGGUGAAGGCCGAGGUAGCCGGGUGUCCUCUUUCUUCUGUGUCCACCUUCAUUUUGUCCUCUUCCUCUUUUUGCCCAGUGUCUUCUGAGUGGGUGGAGCCAGGCGUGCCCACCAGAUGCGGGUAGCGUGUGCUAGGCCAGGACGGCUCCCCAGGCUCAAGUCGGCCUCCUCCUGGGCCGAGGUGGGUUGGCUGCCUGUCCCCAGCUGAGUUGUGGCUGUUCCCCUCACCUGCUCAGAUGAAGGCAGCGCUGUCAGAGGUGACCAGAGCCCGCUCCCUCGACCUUCAGGAUCCCCCGAGAGGGAGGCAACGUGUCAGGACGGUGUAUGUGGAGAGAGGCUUGAGGCUCGGUGCCCGAGCACGGGCAGGAGGACAGUGGCCUCGAUGCCAGAGACCGGAGGGAGGGACGCGACGAUGAGGCUGCAUAAGAAGAGAGCUGACUGUAGCUGAGUGUGUCAGCCACUCACCACCGAGUCCAGUUUCCGCACAGCACGAUCAUCGUGCCCUUGCUCACACACGUGUUAGAUGAGCUUGUGUGAGCUUUAUGGGCUGUAAUUUGUGAGUCUGUUCUGGGUGUGUGAUCCUGGCAGCCGGCUCGGCCUGGCCGCUCGUGACCUGGGGCCUUGUGGGGGUGGGGAGAGGGUGAGGAGGGGUGCACCCUCGACACCACCCUCUGAUGUGGCCUGCAGCCUAUGAAGAGUGAGGUUUGGGGGCCCAGAGUGUGAGUCACCAGCGGUAAAUGCAAACCAUAUGUGAUGCAUUUUCUCUGCUGCAGAAAGGGUUUCUGGUGACUGGCUCAGGCCAGGGCUCUGGAAACAGCAUUGCUUAUUUCACAUAAAAAUCCUAAGAAUGUGGGUGAACCUGUCUGAGAUCUGCGUAAUAAAACACUUAGUUGAAGUCACCGGGUUAGUUCCAGGCCCACUUGCUUAUGACGUGGCUGUUAGCCACGAGCUGGCAUUUACGUUAAAGUGUUGAGAAGAAGCGUGAGGGUUUUGAUGUUUCAGUUUCUUGAAAAUAUAACUGUUUCUACUCAGGACCUGCCUCUCCAAGAGUGUAGCACACUUCAUUUUUUUCUGUUUAGCAUGUAUGAGGGUGAACUUAGCUUGCUACUCACACACUACUCACUCUGUGGAGGAAGUUUGCCUCGCUUUUGUGGUGAGUCUUGCUGUAAUGAUAGCUUAUAUUUACAAAUACCGUCAGCAGUGCAGGGUCUUCAGGCUUGCAGAAAACGGUCAAGUCAUUACUUUGAGAAAUGUACAAACAUCUAUGCUUAAUGAGGUGCUAAAAGACAAAACUCAUCUACAAUCUCCUUCCCCCCAAACUGCCAACACUUCUGAUUAAUUUAAAAUCUGCUCUAAACGACAAAACUCAUCUACAACCUCCUUCCCCCCAAACUGCCAACACUUCUGAUUAAUUUAAAAUCUGCUCUAAAAGACAAAACUCAUCUACAACCUCCUUCCCCACAAACUGCCAACACUCUGGAUUAAUUUAAAAGCUGCUCUCUGGGCAGGUUGCAUCCCAGGGCUCCUCCUUCACACAUGGUGGGGCCCCACCUUCGCUUUACCUCUAGCGUCCCAGCCCUCGUGGUCAUCUGGAACCAGGGUUGGUACACAGGGCCUGCUGGCAUUCCUAUGAUACUCCGUGAUAUUCUGGAGGAAUCCAUCCCUUCCUUGGGGCUCCAUCCCACUGCCCCAGCACCUCCAGCCACCCUGAUUCAGGGACAUCGCAGAGAUUGGUGUUUGACGCUACGGCAGCAGAGGCGCAGACUCUUGAGUGUUGGAGGGUGUCUGGAGGGCCUGGGGGCCAGCACCGCCUGCACUCCCGGGAGCUCGGCCCCGCCCCACCGUGGCUCUGAGUGUCGGAGGGCGUCUGGAGGACCUGGGGGCCAGCACCACCUGCACUCCCGGGAGCUCGGCCCCUCCCCACCGUGGCUCUGAGUGUUGGAGGGCGUCUGGAGGGCCUGGGGGCCAGCACCGCCUGCACUCCCGGGAGCUCGGCCCCUCCCCACCGUGGCUCUGAGUGUUGGAGGGCGUCUGGAGGGCCUGGGGGCCAGCACCACCUGCACUCCCGGGAGCUCUGCCCCUCCCCACCGUGGCUCUGAGUGUGGGAGGGCGUCUGGAGAGCCUGGGGGCCAGCACCGCCUGCACUCCUGGGAGCUCGGCCCUGCCCCACCAUGGCUCUUGGUGCAGGUGCACUGGAAGGA
Molecule: long non-coding RNA, 3603 nt
Filed under: Pan troglodytes (chimpanzee)
Lineage: Eukaryota; Metazoa; Chordata; Mammalia; Primates; Hominidae
Description: long non-coding RNA NONPTRT006990
Source: RNAcentral